Molecule: unclassified non-coding RNA, 315 nt
Organism: Dipodomys ordii (Ord's kangaroo rat)
Lineage: Eukaryota; Metazoa; Chordata; Mammalia; Rodentia; Heteromyidae
Gene: 7SK
Rfam family: 7SK RNA
About the family: 7SK was discovered as an abundant small nuclear RNA in the mid-70s but a possible function has only recently been suggested. Two independent studies have found that 7SK RNA binds the CDK9/cyclin T complex (known as elongation factor P-TEFb). P-TEFb activates transcription by phosphorylating the C-terminal domain of RNA polymerase II.
Source: Ensembl
GGACAUGAGGGCAUCUGCCUGCAACAUCUGUCAUCCCAUUGAUCACUAGGGUUGGUCAGCUGAUCCAACCAACUAGUCUAAGUGCCUUCUUCCUCACCACUUCAUGUGCAAUCCCAUCUCAGCUUGGAAGUUGGGUCAAAGGAUAAUCUUCCUUGGUAGAGAGGAAAUGUUCUUUGGUCAAGGGUAUAGAAGUAGCUGCACUCUCCUGCUGGAAUUUCCAAACAAGCUCUCAAGAAUGUAACUUUGGCCAGGCGCCGAUGGCUCACGCCUGUAAUCCUAGCUGCUCAGAAGGCCGAGAUCUGAGGAUCGUGGUUC